This 423-nucleotide ribosomal RNA is filed under the name uncultured bacterium. RNAcentral describes it as "partial 16S ribosomal RNA". It matches the Rfam family "Bacterial small subunit ribosomal RNA", at positions 360 to 776 of the family's 1533-position model. The record is from RNAcentral.
AAUUUUGGACAAUGGGGGAAACCCUGAUCCAGCCAUCCCGCGUGUAUGAUGAAGGCCUUCGGGUUGUAAAGUACUUUUGGCAGAGAAGAAAAGGUAUCUCCUAAUACGAGAUACUGCUGACGGUAUCUGCAGAAUAAGCACCGGCUAACUACGUGCCAGCAGCCGCGGUAAUACGUAGGGUGCAAGCGUUAAUCGGAAUUACUGGGCGUAAAGCGUGUGUAGGCGGUUCGGAAAGAAAGAGGUGAAAUCCAAGGGUUCACCUUUGAAACGGAAUUUUAAAUGCCCGGGCAAGAGUAUGUCAGAGGGGGGAAGAAUUCCACGUGUAGCAGUAAAAGGCGUAAUAAUGUGGAGGAAAACCGAUGGCGAAGGCAGCCCCCUGGGAUAUACUGACGCUCAGACACGAAAGCGUGGGGAGCAAACAGG